CGUUGGGUUAAAACCCAACGCUAUGAUAAUUCGUCCCUUCGGGACU
RNAcentral lists this small RNA (46 nucleotides) under Soonwooa buanensis. RNAcentral's name for it is "Acido-Lenti-1 RNA". It matches the Rfam family "Acido-Lenti-1 RNA". Lineage: Bacteria; Pseudomonadati; Bacteroidota; Flavobacteriia; Flavobacteriales; Weeksellaceae. The record is from Rfam by way of RNAcentral.